GAGAGAGAGGCCACAAGACACUCUUAUUGCUUGGGUGCGAAGCCUUCUACGAUCACUCUCUCCAACUUUGGAAGGAAAGAGAAAUCCCCCUCAAUUCUUUUGACACAAAGGCCUCUAGUACUCCUCUUAAGUUCCAUGGACACGGAGAUGGAGGAAGAUGCACGACGUGAGUUCGAUGGUGCUGAGAAAAGUGACGAUGGACGUGUGAGAACCGGAACAGUAUGGACUGCAACAGCCCAUGUGAUUACAGCAAUAAUUGGGACUGGGAUCCUGGGGGUGGCCUGGAGCGUUGCUCAACUUGGUUGGAUUAUUGGGCCUCUCUUCCUUCUUGGCUUUGGUUGUGUGACUUAUUACGCAUCGACCCUUCAAGCUGACUGCUAUAGAUACCCACACCCACACGCAGGAAAGAGAAACUACACUUACAAGGAUGCUGUCAAA
Molecule: long non-coding RNA, 438 nt
Organism: Amborella trichopoda
Lineage: Eukaryota; Viridiplantae; Streptophyta; Magnoliopsida; Amborellales; Amborellaceae
Source: RefSeq, a predicted model, not a curated record